CGUCGGAAUUACCUCCGUCGUGACUUCUAUAGUUAUGUAGAACCAAACGACAGAUCGAUUGGAUACUUCAUUCCGUGUGAUGGAACUCCAAACGACGCACCUUCACGAACUACUGUGAGUCAGUUGUUUACCUUUUUCUUGAUUUGGUAUCCACACCUGAACUGUAUAUAGCGUUUAGAUCCACUACAACCGGCACCAAAACACCCAGUUGUUCCAGUCAUCUGAGUUCUCGGUUGACAGGCGGCAGGGCUGCGUAGGGAACCGGCCGUUUAAGGCGAAAGACCGUUUGACUGCUGGGCCGAAGCUGUAGUGUGGCCUGGGUACAGGAACAAAGACCCAGGUCAUCCUGGUACACGGGGGCAAACUGUCGAAUGAUGUCGUCGAACAGCCUCCUGGGCGCGGCAGGUGACCGCACCUGGUUGCAGAUGGCACUGAUUUCGACAUCAAGGAUGUCAAGCCGUUCGAGCCAAUCCAGCCCGAGAAGGUCAAGACCAGAGUUAGCGACGUAACACGUUCCUUCGAUGAUGGUGCCGCGGAAUGACGCUGAACAGUGCAGUUGUCGUCAACUGCACCGAGCCACCAGAAGCACUGGUUGCUGCCUGAGAUGUCGGGUGGAUAGGAAGGCUGCCCAGGUCUCGCCAAAGAUUCUCGGAUAUGAUCGUGACGUCUGAAGCAGUGUCCAACUGCAGGCGAGCCAAACGACCACUGAUAUGGUGGAUACGAACCCUCGCCGCUGAGCGACCUCGACAUGGAACGCGGUCAGAGGACUGUUAGAUCUGCCAACCACACACGACCCGGCUGGCUUCGUGAACUUGGAGUCCGACGCAGGCUUGACGUUGUCUGAUGUCUGUGAUUAGCAGAAACCUUCCUUAUGAUCGACCUUGUGUCAUCACUGACAGCGAUGUCGUCGGAAAGGGCAGAAUCUGUGGAAGUGCCACGCACCACAGUAGCGACAAGCUGAAUGCGGCUUCUUGGUACCAGCAGGACUGAGUUUGGUGCACCGUGUAGGGGAAUUUGGCUGGAAACUGGAUACGGUCUGGAAUGCACGGGGCGCCCGGUCGGGGUGCUGUAUCAUCGCCGAGUCGUGCUUCAGGUUGGUCAACCUUUCGCAUUCGUCAAACAUCUGUUCCACCUUGAUAUUUGGCUUUUGGUAGAUUUUAACUAGGAGUCUGGUACGGAGGUCAGCAUAGGUUGGUGAAUGCAGGCCACAAAUGAAAACCAGGCAUCGGAACUAGUCCUUUGUGAGCGAACCAAGCUUGAACCGUCCGCACUCCCGGUUUACGAUAUCAGUAUAGGUGACAAAGUCGUCUAUGCCUCGUUUGACCAACUGGAGGCACUGGAACAGAGAGUUGAACAGGGAUGGAGUGUCCCCGAAGAUUUUCAUCAGUUUCUGGACCGUGCCCGCGAAAGUUAGGGUUAACGGUAUAGCGGACGUGCUCCGCUGGGCCCGGUUUCCGGAGGAGUAGCCAAACCUUCGUAUCGUCAUCUUGCGAUGCCAGCUCCAUGGUAAACGUCUCCUCAUAUCGCUUGUACCAUGCCUCGAAGGAGACGCCAGCUUGGGGAUCAUACAGGAAUUCGGGGAUGUUCCUGGUCAAAUGAUCCACGGACGGCGGAUCGACUGACGUGGACGGCCCAAGUGCGGCAAAGCGAGUGACCAGCAUUUCCAUCAACCGGAUCUGGGACUGCACCACCUGCUUGAGAUCGGAAUCGGCAGACGUGGUUUAUAGAGAGAAACAAAAGCGAAACGACAAUCUCCGUCGCCAAUAUGUUAUGACCUGGGGGUCAAUAAUAACGAGAAAUGGCUGGCGCACGAAUAUACGAAUCACGAACACGUAGCACAGCGCUUCACGAUAACCGAAAACCCCAGAAGAACACAGAAGACCGUGACGUUUAGCCGAGAAUGUAUUUGCACUGAAACCUAAGGUAAUCUGACAGACCAGCGUCCGCGUAUAUAUAGUUUUUGAACAGCCUUGGAAGACCCCAUUGGAAUUAGCCCAUUGAAAGUGAAAUGGACCAAUCAAAGGCGGAGUGAAACGUGCGCCAGAAUUAAGUUUUAGUUCAUUGUAGCGCGAACAAAUGAAGUUCAAAGUUAUAAAUUGAUUUUUAAGGAUAUCUCAAAAGUUAAACUGUUCUUGGAGGAAAUAGACUUUCCCCAACAAGGCCCCACAUAUCGACCACUCAAGUGUGAUAACCCAAAUCUGCCUGCCUGCCUUGGUAAAGGUUGGUCGAGCGUCACUCCCGUAGUGGAGAUGAUAGUAUGAAACUGGGACAGACGCACUCUGUGGCGACCCAGGUGGACUCGAAUUCGUGUGUUAUUGGCGCAUGCUAUGGGAAAAGAAGCCAAAAGUCGCUGGGACGGUUAGCAGGAGGGACCAGAUCGGUCGCCCGCCGUUUUUGUACAGUGAGCUAUGGCGAUGUUUACUCAAUCAUAAGGGGUAUUAUCUACGGGAGAUCGGUUGUGUCAGUUGUGGUCCUGGCGGGAUUGCAGCGAAUGCUUAUUCCGGUGAACGUACUCGUGUGAAAAAAGGUAGUGAAAAAUACAAGGUAGCCAAAUGUCUCGUCAUCUAAUUAGCGACGCGCAUGAAUGGAUUAACGAGAUUCCCACUGUCCCUAUCUACUAUCCAGAGAAAUCAAAGCCAACGGAACGGGCUCGGCAGAAUUAGCGGGGAGAGAAGACCCUGUUGAGCUUGACUCUAGUCCGACUUUGUGAGGAGACAUGACGGGUGUAGAAUAAGUGGGAGCCAGGUCCUUCGGGGUUUGGCGUCAGUGGAAUACCCCCACCUUCAUUGUUUCUUUGCUUAUUCAGUAAAGCGGGGUGCCAAUUUUGGUCCCAACCACAUGCCGUCAUGCGCGGCUAUGCUGCGGGUGUCGGUAUCCUGGUAAUGUCAGAUGAGCCCUAGCUUCGGCUGCGAUGUUAGAGUUUGAAUGUGAUGUGCGACCCGUUCUGAAGACAGUGUCAGGCGGAGAGUUUGACUGAGGCGGUACAUCUGACAAAUGGGAACGCAGGUGUCCCAGGGUAAGCUCAGCCAGGACGGAAACCUGGCGUAGAGUAAAAGGGCAAAAGCUUAUUUGAUUUUGAUUUCCAGUGCAAAUGCAGACCGUGAAAGCGUGGCCUAUCGAUCCUUUUGAUUUUGAUAUUCGGAGUUUGAAGCAAGAGGUGUCAGAAAAGUUACCACAGGGAUAACUGGCUUGUGGCGGCCAAGAAUUCAUAGCGACGUCGCUUUUUGAUCCUUCGAUGUCAGCUCUCCCUAGCGUUGUGACGUAGAAUUCACCAAGCGUUGGAUUGAUCACCCACUAAUAGGGAACGUGGGCUGUGUUCAGACCGUCGUGAGACAGGUUAGUUUUACCCUACUAAUGAGUACAAUGAAACAGUGAAGUACAAACUGGCCGCUGCUGUGGUAAUUCUGUUUAGUACGAGGGGAACCGCAGGUUCAGACAUUUGGUAUAUGUGCCUGGCCGAAAGGCCAAUGGUGCGAAGCUACCAUCUGAGGGAUUAGGACUGAACGCCUCUAAGUCUGAAUCCCGUCCAGAUAUGCAACGGUACAUUCUGUGCCUGUCACGUGGCAAGGCAAGACUACGUAUUCCUUCCGGUGUUUGGACUGGACUAUGUAUCUGGCUAGGCCCGGUAGGUAUCGUGUAACGCCAGAGUGAUUGACCGAAUCUAUGCUCCGGAUUUUCGGGCGCAGGUGUCGACACGAUAUCCAAGUGUGGAAUGAGCGUGAAGGCAAUAAAUCGGUUGUAGACGACUUAAUGUUUUGUCGGGGAGACGUAAGUGUUCGAGCAGCUAUCACAGUGCGAGACAUUGAGUCAUAUCCUUAUCUGAUGUGAUGAUUUGAGAGCUCGACUGCCAUUCAUUUGCAAGGGGUCUGAAGGGUUUCGAGACUCUUGUGCAUGGUGAUUAUGCACUGCGACUAACAUUUGUGUCCGGGGUGUGACCAGCGUGUGCUCGUCUAUCCUUAUGGGUGGUGCGCGUGGGUCAUGUGCUGUAGGUUCUCAUCCUGUCGUCUGCGAUGAGCGGGUCUAAGGUGUGAUCAUCGGUUCAUGGUGAUACGCGAAUCAUUGCGUGAUCGUGAUAUUCGAACGUAUUUCUUACAAUUCAUGUUCUGCGAAUCAUAUUGUGAUCUUCCAAUGUAGAAGGAUAUUACAAAGGUCGAGAAAAAUCAAGUUGGAUUAAAGUAUACCCUUUUCGUCUGGAAGUCCGUUGGAUCAAGAUUACAGUAUUCCUCCAUCCCCGCGAGAAAGCCCAUCUACUCAAUAUUACAGGAUAACCACUUCGUCUGAAAGUUCGUCUGACCAAUAUUACAGUAUACCCCUCCGUCUGAAAGUCUGUCUGACCAAGAUUGCAGUAUACCUCUUCCGUCGACUUUUCGUCAAGAUAACAUUGUAGUCGCUGUUUUCUCGGUGUUUCGUGGACUUUUCUUCAACAUAACAUGAUAAUGGCUGUUUUUUACGGUUUUCGGUGCGGCGUGACGCUACAAUGGUCUAGUCUCCUCUUUUUCUCUCCUUUUCUCCCCCUUCUCGUGCCUCCACUGACUUGUCCCAAUGAUUUAUCACAAGAACAAAUAUCGUUUCAGACACCCAAAAUGGACAUAGGCCAUACGAUCAUUUCUUUCUUGCUGCAAGGAAUCCUACGGUGUCAACAGUUUUUCCAUCGGAUAAAUAUUUUCGGCUUUGCCAGCUUUAGUCCAAUUUGGGUUUUUUAUAAAUAAUUCGGAAACCACGCCCGCCGAACACUUUCCAAGUUGGUAGAGGUUUUAUAUACUAUUCGAAAGCCCGUUUGAAGCUCUAUUCUUUGGUGAUCAACUUUCUGCUCAACUCUGCGUCACUUGCAUACUACGGUCGUUUUUUUCCUACAGUUUUUGAGUAAUUUCUUAGUGUCAAGGCUAGUCCUACGCGUGCAUUUUCCCCCUGUUAGGCAUUUGUCAAACAUUUGCUAUAAGUUUUACUCAGUUUUCGAAACUCUUUCGAGUGAUAUUCGAACUGUCUAGUUAUCAUAGAUUAUUAAUAUUUCAUAGUUACCAUAUUAUAGUCUAAAAUUACUGAAUUAUUAUUAAUACUAUAUCUCAUAUUGU
This 5072-nucleotide ribosomal RNA is filed under the name Paragonimus westermani. Its description in RNAcentral is "28S ribosomal RNA". The stretch from base 2317 to 3834 matches the Rfam family "Eukaryotic large subunit ribosomal RNA", at positions 1891 to 3399 of the family's 3401-position model. The record is from RNAcentral. Lineage: Eukaryota; Metazoa; Platyhelminthes; Trematoda; Plagiorchiida; Troglotrematidae.